GGUAAAUGUAAUGUAAAUUUCUGUAUUCUUUUAGGAGUCUUCCCAUGACUCUUCCGAACUGAAGCCCUACCUCUUAAAGUUAUCCCUAAAAUAAACUACAAGGAAUCUAAUUAAUACAGAGACAAAUUGAUAAAUGAUUAGCAAUCCGGAGUAAAUAAGUGGCCUCUCUAAAACGAAGAAUAUAAAGAUAUUAUUCAGAUUGACAAAUGCAAAGAAAACUCUAAUAUUAAAACAAUAUUAAUAUUCUAAAAUAAAUGUCUAAUAGUAGUUCGAAUUUCAGGUCUACUGCUCACUGUUUACUUUUGGAAAGUAGUUGGUCUGGAUGCAGUAAAUGUUGAGCGUAAAGCCUUUGGAGCCAUUGGUAACUUUCUGAUAGCUGGGAACUUGAGCUUAGAGUUGAAGAACUGAGUAGUCUUUGGUCUCUUUGCAAGCUUAGCAUCAAUUUGAGAAACACGGAUAAUCUGAAUGCUGCUACGUUGAGCACGGUGUGAUCCUGCAAGUUCCUCAUACAUUUGGCUAACAGCUCCAGUCUUGCUAAUGUCUCUGUACUCCUUAUACAUAUAUACAACAUUUGUACGGCUUCUGUAUUGAAGCAAGAUUGCAAAGUUCUUUACAUAUGUUGGUCUCUUCUCGAAAAUACGAGUAACUGAGAGGAUCUCACCAUUGGCCUUCUUGACCUUAUUCAAUCUUGACAUGAAGUAGAAGAAUCUGCUCUUUGCUACAACUUCAUUUGGAGCAAAAAUGCAAACUCUGAAAACUUUUGGAUGUGGAUUAAGCUCUGUUGGCUUUCCACGUCCAAUAACCAUAUAUUGGUUAACUUUCAUUUGUAAUGAUGGAUCUGGCAUUGACUUCAUCUUUUUUUUUUUUCUAUUCAAACAAUAUAAAUCUAAAUAAUUGGUUUUAAAAUGUUUCUUCAAACCAAAGAACUUCUCUUUAUUUACCUGAGUAUUCUGGUAGUUCUGGUCUUGUAAUUUCUAGAACUUAAUUUUUUUUUUGUAUAUUCAAUAUGUAUCUUAU
Molecule: non-coding RNA, 1017 nt
Filed under: Cryptosporidium parvum
Lineage: Eukaryota; Apicomplexa; Conoidasida; Eucoccidiorida; Cryptosporidiidae
Source: RNAcentral